Molecule: ribosomal RNA, 389 nt
Filed under: uncultured bacterium
Lineage: Bacteria
Description: bacterial SSU rRNA
Rfam family: Bacterial small subunit ribosomal RNA
Source: RNAcentral
AACGAACGCUGGCGGCGCGCCUAAUACAUGCAAGUCGAGCGAGAAGACGUAGCAAUACGUUUGUAAAGCGGCGAACGGGUGAGGAAUACAUGGGUAACCUACCCUCGAGUGGGGAAGUAACUAGCCGAAGGUUAGCUAAUACCGCGUACGCUCCUUGGACUUCGGUUCAGGGAGGGAAAGCGAUACCGUGGGUAGUCGCGCUCUUGGAUGGGCUCAUGUCCUAUCAGCUUGUUGGGAGGUAACGGCUCACCAAGGCUUCGACGGGUAGCUGGUCUGAGAGGACGAUCAGCCACACUGGCACUGCGACACGGGCCAGACUCCUACGGGAGGCAGCAGUAAGGAAUAUUGCGCAAUGGGCGAAAGCCUGACGCAGCGACGCCGCGUGGGGG